CGUUAAUCGGCGCAGGGUUAGUCGGCCCCUAAGGCGAGGGCGAAAGCCGUAGUCGAUGGGAAGCAGGGUAAUAUUCCUGCGCCUCGCGUGAGUGCGAUGGAGGGACGGAGAAGGCUAGGUGUACCGGGCGUUGGUUGUCCCGGGGAAAGGCGGUAGGCUGGUUCCUUAGGAAAAUCCGGGGGGCCUUUUAAAGCCGAGCACCGAGACGAGUCGUUUUAGAUGAAGUCACUGAUGCCACGCUUCCAGGAAAAGGUACUAAGCUACAGCUCAC
Molecule: ribosomal RNA, 271 nt
Filed under: Xylella fastidiosa subsp. multiplex
Lineage: Bacteria; Pseudomonadati; Pseudomonadota; Gammaproteobacteria; Lysobacterales; Lysobacteraceae
Description: partial 23S ribosomal RNA
Rfam family: Bacterial large subunit ribosomal RNA
Source: RNAcentral